RNAcentral lists this ribosomal RNA (492 nucleotides) under uncultured bacterium. RNAcentral describes it as "partial 16S ribosomal RNA". It matches the Rfam family "Bacterial small subunit ribosomal RNA", at positions 29 to 507 of the family's 1533-position model. The record is from RNAcentral.
AGUGAACGCUGGCGGUAGGCCUAACACAUGCGAGUCGAACGGCAGCACAGUAAGAGCUUGCUCUUACGGGUGGCGAGUGGCGGACGGGUGAGGAAUACAUCGGAAUCUACUUUUUCGUGGGGGAUAACGUAGGGAAACUUACGCUAAUACCGCAUACGACCUACGGGUGAAAGCAGGGGAUCUUCGGACCUUGCGCGAUUGAAUGAGCCGAUGUCGGAUUAGCUAGUUGGCGGGGUAAAGGCCCACCAAGGCGACGAUCCGUAGCUGGUCUGAGAGGAUGAUCAGCCACACUGGAACUGAGACACGGUCCAGACUCCUACGGGAGGCAGCAGUGGGGAAUAUUGGACAAUGGGCACAAGCCUGAUCCAGCCAUACCGCGUGGGUGAAGAAGGCCUUCGGGUUGUAAAGCCCUUUUGUUGGGAAAGAAAAGCAGCAGGUUAAUACCCCGCUGUUCUGACGGUACCCAAAGAAUAAGCACCGGCUAACUUCGUG